CCUACGGGAGGCAGCAGUAAGGAAUUUUCGGCAAUGGGGGCAACCCUGACCGAGCAACGCCGCGUGAGUGAUGAAGGCCUUUGGGUUGUAAAGCUCUGUUGCAAAGGAAGAAUCUUUCCAAGAGGAAAUGCUUGGGAACUGACGGUACUUUGCCAGAAAGUCACGGCUUACUACGUGCCAGCAGCCGCGGUAAU
RNAcentral lists this ribosomal RNA (194 nucleotides) under uncultured bacterium. RNAcentral describes it as "partial 16S ribosomal RNA". It matches the Rfam family "Bacterial small subunit ribosomal RNA", at positions 338 to 524 of the family's 1533-position model. The record is from RNAcentral.